RNAcentral lists this ribosomal RNA (400 nucleotides) under uncultured bacterium. RNAcentral describes it as "bacterial SSU rRNA". It matches the Rfam family "Bacterial small subunit ribosomal RNA", at positions 359 to 776 of the family's 1533-position model. The record is from RNAcentral.
GAAUCUUAGACAAUGGGGGAAACCCUGAUCUAGCCAUGCCGCGUGAGUGACGAAGGCCCUAGGGUCGUAAAGCUCUUUCAGCUGUGAAGAUAAUGACGGUAGCAGCAGCAGAAACCCCGGCUAACUCCGUGCCAGCAGCCGCGGUAAUACGGAGGGGUUUAGCGUUGUUCGGAAUUCAUGGGCGUAAAGCGCACGUAGGCGGACUAUUAAGUCAGGGGUGAAAUCCCGGGGCUCAACCCCGGAACUGCCCUUGAUACUGGUAGUCUCGAGUUCGAGAGAGGUGAGUGGAAUUCCGAGUGUAGAGGUGAAAUUCGUAGAUAUUCGGAGGAACACCAGUGGCGAAGGCGGCUCACUGGCUCGAUACUGACGCUGAGGUGCGAAAGUGUGGGGAGCAAACAGG